Molecule: ribosomal RNA, 464 nt
Filed under: uncultured bacterium
Lineage: Bacteria
Description: partial 16S ribosomal RNA
Rfam family: Bacterial small subunit ribosomal RNA
Source: RNAcentral
CUACGGGAGGCUGCAGUGGGGAAUAUUGCACAAUGGGCGCAAGCCUGAUGCAGCCAUGCCGCGUGUAUGAAGAAGGCCUUCGGGUUGUAAAGUACUUUCAGCGGGGAGGAAGGGAGUAAAGUUAAUACCUUUGCUCAUUGACGUUACCCGCAGAAGAAGCACCGGCUAACUCCGUGCCAGCAGCCGCGGUAAUACGGAGGGUGCAAGCGUUAAUCGGAAUUACUGGGCGUAAAGCGAACGCAGGCGGUUUGUUAAGUCAGAUGUGAAAUCCCCGGGCUCAACCUGGGAACUGCAUCUGAUACUGGCAAGCGUGAGUCUCGUAGAGGGGGGUAGAAUUCCAGGUGUAGCGGUGAAAUGCGUAGAGAUCUGGAGGAAUACCGGUGGCGAAGGCGGCCCCCUGGACGAAGACUGACGCUCAGGUGCGAAAGCGUGGGGAGCAAACAGGAUUAGAUACCCUUGUAGUC